RNAcentral lists this long non-coding RNA (1029 nucleotides) under Mustela putorius furo (domestic ferret). RNAcentral's name for it is "lncRNA (ENSMPUG00000026157.1)". The record is from RNAcentral. Lineage: Eukaryota; Metazoa; Chordata; Mammalia; Carnivora; Mustelidae.
AUGAACCUGUGCCAGACAGAGAAAGAAAGGGAUGCAGCCAUGGAUUCGGGACCCUGGAGGGAUACGAGAUUGGAGGCAUCAUCAGAAUUGGUUGGAGGGAUCAGGGGCUCGCUAUCCACAGGCUGGACAGGGCCCCUGACAGCUGUCUGGCCGCAGUGUGGCCAUGCCCGGUGUCACUGUCAGUGUGGUUUACUGCAACAGACUUUGCACUUCUGUUUCUUCAGAUUUGAUUAGUAACCCUGGUUUAUCUUCUCAAUAAAUGUAUUGAUCCCACAUCCGUGUCUCAGCCAGUCCCAGCCGUAGCACAUGCUCAGCGCAGCUUUAGCAAUGAGAUCUUCAAUGAGUGUUCUUCAUACAAUCUAGCAGAGAAGUGAUACAGAAUAGAGGGUAAGCGCACACAUUCUCUAGAAACUGGCUGUCUGGAUCCAAAUCUUAGCUAUGCCACUUAUUAGCUGGUGACUCAGGGCUUGCUGCAUAACCUCUCUGUGCUUCAAAGUCUUUAUCUAUAAAAUGGAAAGGACAAUAUUAGCGGCAUCUACUUUCUAAUUUUGUUGUGAGGUUUAAAUGAGCUAAGUUGAGUCCUGCAAAGUGUUUGCCAUUGCCCCUAAAGCUGUCGUAAAAUGUUACCCAGCCAGGUAAUGUAGUGCGUUUGGGUAUGAUGCAUAAACUCUUCUUCAUACAAACUUCUAUAAACAACACUCACUGCUGACCAUCUUUUCUUCCUUUAAGAUUUUAUUUAUUUAUUUGAGAGAGAGAGAGAGAAAGUGAGAGCGUGUGUGCACGCAGCAUGCGGGAGCAGCAGGGAGAGAGGGAGAAUCAGACUCCCCACUGAGUAAGGAGCCUGAUGCGGGGCUCCAUACCAGGACCCUGAGAUCAGGACCUGAGCUAAAGGUAGAUGCUUAACAGACUGAACCACCCAGGCGCCCCAACGAUCUUGACCAUACCAGGAGUCAGAUCAAGAUACUCUUUUACAAGAUACUCAUGUUAUGGCCAAAAGGGACAUUAAAAAUAGUUUAAUCUGACCGUUUC